UACGAAGGGGGCUAGCGUUGCUCGGAAUCACUGGGCGUAAAGCGCACGUAGGCGGGUCUUUAAGUCAGGGGUGAAAUCCUGGAGCUCAACUCCAGAACUGCCUUUGAUACUGAGGAUCUCGAGUCCGGGAGAGGUGAGUGGAACUCCGAGUGUAGAGGUGAAAUUCGUAGAUAUUCGGAAGAACACCAGUGGCGAAGGCGGCUCACUGGCCCGGUACUGACGCUGAGGUGCGAAAGCGUGGGGAGCAACAGGAUAGAA
This 258-nucleotide ribosomal RNA is filed under the name uncultured bacterium. RNAcentral's name for it is "partial 16S ribosomal RNA". It matches the Rfam family "Bacterial small subunit ribosomal RNA", at positions 524 to 782 of the family's 1533-position model. The record is from RNAcentral.